This 253-nucleotide ribosomal RNA is filed under the name uncultured bacterium. RNAcentral describes it as "partial 16S ribosomal RNA". It matches the Rfam family "Bacterial small subunit ribosomal RNA", at positions 524 to 776 of the family's 1533-position model. The record is from RNAcentral.
UACGUAGGGGGCAAGCGUUGUCCGGAUUUAUUGGGCGUAAAGAGCGUGUAGGCGGCCAGGUAGGUCUGCUGUGAAAACUCGAGGCUUAACCUCAAGCUGUCGGUGGAAACCACAUGGCUAGAGUCCGGAAGAGGAGAGUGGAAUUCCUGGUGUAGCGGUGAAAUGCGCAGAUAUCAGGAAGAACACCAAUGGCGAAGGCAGCUCUCUGGGACGGUACUGACACUGAGACGCGAAAGCGUGGGGAGCGAACAGG